UACGGAGGGAGCUAGCGUUGUUCGGAAUUACUGGGCGUAAAGCGCACGUAGGCGGCUUUGUAAGUUAGAGGUGAAAGCCCGGGGCUCAACUCCGGAACUGCCUUUAAGACUGCAUCGCUUGAAUCCGGGAGAGGUGAGCGGAAUUCCGAGUGUAGAGGUGAAAUGCGCAGAUAUCAGGAGGAACACCGGUGGCGAAGGCGGAUCUCUGGGCCUUACCUGACGCUGAGGCGCGAAAGCUAGGGGAGCAAACAGG
Molecule: ribosomal RNA, 253 nt
Filed under: uncultured bacterium
Lineage: Bacteria
Description: partial 16S ribosomal RNA
Rfam family: Bacterial small subunit ribosomal RNA
Source: RNAcentral